RNAcentral lists this ribosomal RNA (327 nucleotides) under Phormidium sp. GEM2.Bin31. RNAcentral describes it as "partial 23S ribosomal RNA". It matches the Rfam family "Bacterial large subunit ribosomal RNA", at positions 2600 to 2925 of the family's 2925-position model. The record is from RNAcentral. Lineage: Bacteria; Bacillati; Cyanobacteriota; Cyanophyceae; Oscillatoriales; Oscillatoriaceae.
GUGAGCUGGGUUCAGAACGUCGUGAGACAGUUCGGUCCAUAUCCGGUGUAGGCGUAAGAGAAUUGAGAGGAGCCUUCCUUAGUACGAGAGGACCGGGAAGGACGCACCGCUGGUGUACCUGUUAUCGUGCCAACGGUAAACGCAGGGUAGCCAAGUGCGGAGCGGAUAACCGCUGAAAGCAUCUAAGUGGGAAGCCCACCUCAAGAUGAGUUCUCUGUUGGGGUCAACCCAGUAAGGUCACGGAAAGAACAUCCGUUAAUAGGCGCUAGGUGGAAGUUCAGUAAUGGAUGAAGCCAAGGCGUACUAACAGACCGAGCGCUUGACCUC